Mus musculus (house mouse) is the source of this 588-nucleotide long non-coding RNA. RefSeq annotates it as predicted gene, 41519. The transcript is spliced from 2 exons. Lineage: Eukaryota; Metazoa; Chordata; Mammalia; Rodentia; Muridae. The record is from RefSeq and is a predicted model, not a curated record.
UGCAGGAAUUUAGCAGUCUUCUGGAAGUUACUAAGGAGACGCUUGAAGGAGGGGGGAGCAGACUGCUCAUGUUGUCUGACUGAAGAAAACCUGCUACUGGAGAACAGUUCUGAGUUUCAGGGGAGUCGUGUGGGCGUGGCUUCUCAUACAAGGGGCCCUUUGUACUCCUUUAAACCCACUGAGAACAGGUUCAUUGCAGUAGAAGAAUCCAGUUAAGUCAAUGGCACCGACCUUCCCCAUAUCUCCCAGUGAGGUGAAUACUGCUAAGUGGAGAAGCUCAGCCGUUCUCUGGUCCAGAGCUUUGACUGGUGGUCUGUGGUGUAGACAUGGUGACCACUGAUUGGAUGACCUCUAUGCCCUCCAGAGAGGAACUGACACCAAAAGGCCCUGCAUGCCCUCAGGUAAGAUACUCUAAUUAGACAACUUUCCUGAGCUUAGGGAUUUCCUCUCAGGGCCAAGAGCAAAGGCCAGAACCCUGUCUGGUAAGGGUAAUCCUUCAGUGGGCACAGUGUGUUGUGUGGACCUUGGCAGACAUUAACUGUUUCUAUGACAGGGCGAGGUAAAUAAAGACACUGGUAUACACAUCUG